UCUGAUCUUCCCAAGCUAAGAUAUGUUCGUUGUGUCGUUAACGAGACCCUUCGUCUGUAUCCUCCAGCCCCGCUUCUGCUGCCUCACGCGCCAUCUGAAGACUGCGUCAUAGGUGGAUACAAGAUACCACGAGGCACGAUUGUGAUGGUGAAUGCAUGGGCCAUACAUAGGGAUCCCAAGCUGUGGGAAGAUCCUGAGAGCUUCAAACCGGAGAGAUUCGAAGGUCUUAAUAAUGAAGGGGACAAACAAGGAUUCAUCCCUUUCGGUAUUGGGAGAAGGGCUUGCCCUGGAAAUCACAUGGCCAUGCGCAGAGUGAUGUUGGCAUUGGCUGCGCUUAUUCAGUGCUUUGAAUGGGAAAGAGUCGGGCAGGAACUGGUAGAUAUGAGCAUCGUAGAUGCUCUUAUCUCUGUACAGAAGGCUAAGCCUUUGGAGGCUAUUUGUGUUCCUCGUCCUUUCACAACCACUCUCAUCUCUCCACCCUAAUCCCAAUUAUGGAAUAAGACUGUGACUUUCUACGGAACCGUUUCUAUUUGGAAUAAAGUUCCAUGUUUACUUUGCUUUGUAAUGCAAUCCAGAGCUAUCUCUGUUUGGAAAUAAAGUUAUUCUAAGUUUACUUUGCUUUGUAAAUCAAUCCGCCAUUGAUGAGGUAUAAUUCAAGUUUAUUUUUUGUGGUAUAAAUAGGUGGCUAAAAGCUCAAAAACAAAGAAACUAUAGAUAAUCUUGAGCAAACGAUGUUUUCACCGCAAUGCCACAAACACGUCAUUCAGGGUCAUCGAUGGUUAUGGUUUUAAUAAAGAUGAAGUUAUCAAGGAGCAAACUAUAAUACUCAUUAAUUCGAGACCAAAAGAUGCAUAACAAUAUCAUUGAGAUUUCAUAUAAUGUUUUUUUCUGACAGACAUGGAGUUCAUUUUUUGUUUUUCUCACUACAUUCUGUAUCAAUAUAACCUGUAAAAGGGAAUGAGAAAAAACAAAUUUAAUCAGAAGAUGAAGAUAAUUUCAAUUCCUAAAGGUGGGGCAGAUCUAGAGAAAUGGAGAUGAUGGAGGAACAACUUUAAAUCCUAGAUAUUGCUUAUCAAGGAAAAGACAUACACCAAUAAUUACUUUGUGACUGCUGGGUUGGAGUGGUUGAUAGAAAUGGAACGGUGCUCGUUUGGGUCAUUUGUUAUUACUAGUCGUUGUUGAAAGCAUAUUAUAAAAUGAAAUAAAAGCUAUAAUUGUUUUUUUUUUAAAUAGUAUCGAUAACAUGCCAUCUACUGUUCUAGAUUCCAAUGACAAAAGAGUUGCCGGAAAAUCACGUGAGACCUUAAUAACAUGUAUUUUGUACACAAAGACAUAAUGAAGACCUUAAUAAACUCAUUUGUCCAUGAACUUCUCAAAAAAAAAAUCCAAAUCAAACCCAAAUUCCAAAAACUUUCAUAUCCUAGAUCUACUCCCUCAAGUAAGGUAAAGGUUAAAAAAAUAUUUAGAUAGAACUCCUCUCGUCGAAUAAAAUUCAUUGACAUCAAGAUCAAGUAUUUUUUUAACCAAAAUCAGUGUUAACAACAGAUUUUCCUCUCUUCAAUCUCUUUCAUCUCUCAAACCAAAUGAGCUGAAAAGAGAAGAAGAUGAAGUUUUGGAUUAAGAGUGAUUUUUUUUUAAAUCAAAGGGACUAUAAAUGUAUCAAUUGGAAAAUAGAAGGAGCAAAGUUAACUUUUCACAUCUUAGUUUCUCUGCUUUUUGUUUUUCACUUGGAAAGUUAUUAAAUUCUGCCACCCAGUUUGUCAAGCAACCACUAGCAUGUAUCUUCCAUAUCCCGAUUGAUCAUGUCUGCAGCAAAUCUUCACGGACCAUUUUUCAAUCGAACGAAGUGAUUUAACAUUAAACACUUUUUUAAUGCUAGUUCUUAAUAAAUUAGAUCUAAUCGGCCAUCAGUUUAAUAAUUAAAAUAGCGACAAGUCAACAAAAUCUUAUAAAUGCUUGUGCAUCAUCUCAGCAGACUAUAUUGUACACAUCUUUAUCAAUUAACAAAUCAUAAAAAUUAUUCACCUAACAUUAGUUGCUGUUUUAUAACAAUAUUUUAUUUCUAUUUUUUGAACUUGGUUUCUUAUAAUUUAAAUCAAUAUCGUCGAUUUCGUUCGAUUUCGUCUGGAAUGGCCGAAACAUUUCAUACUAAUUUAAAAAAAAAUAAUUUUCAUCUCAUUUCAAAUCUCGGUGAUCUGUUCCGGAUUUUUCGAUUAAAUUUCAGCCCGAAUGUUUAGCUUUCAUUUCACAUGUUCUGUCCAGUCUUAAAAAGUCAUCGAAUCAAAUCAAACCUGGUUCAAUUUAAUUAAUUAAACCACUAAAGUAUAAAAAGUUUUUUUUCAUUACUAUUUUCAAUAACAAUAAAAUUAAUAAUAAUAUUAAAAAUUAUUAUUACUAUUUUCAUUAACAAUGAUAUUAAUUUUUUAAAAUUAGAUUUAUCACUAAUAUAUAUGGUUUAUGUUCAUGUUGUUUUUUUCAUGUUUAUACUUUAUAGGAAUUUGAGCAAAACAAGGGAUGAUUUAGAUUUCAUAAGCCUUGAUAAUAUUGACCUAGCUUUAUAUUUAAAAUAUUUAUGUUAAAACAUUUUACUUUUAUAAUAUUUUGAUAUUUUGUUUAAGUUUAAUUACUUUAAGUUCUUGACUAUUUAGAAAUAUUUUAAAAUUUGAAAUUAUAUUUGUUUGACAUUGUGUUUGUAUUGCAUAAUUUAUAAUUAAUUUAUCUUGAAUUGGAAUUAUGUUUGUUGAAUUAUAUAUAAUUUAUAUAUGAACAGUACAAUUCCAAAAUGACACGCGAAACUAAAACAUUUUAUUUCAAUUAAAAAAAUAAAAUAUUUUUUAAAACAGAACUGACAACCUGAUUUAAAUUGUUGGAUGGUAUCCAACAUUAUGCAUAUAAUUAUCACUAAAUGAUAUGAUACUAAUUAGUCCUUCAUUGUUAAGCUCGUGUAAUUAUCACUGUUAAACUAGGUUUAUUAAUUUUAUAAUUAUCAAGAUUUAUUUUUCAAAUAAAUAAGGUAUUUUUUCCCCUCACUUUGGCUUCAAGUACUUUGAACUCUAGUGGCUAAAAAGGAAUACACCAUCCUAACAAUUAGAUUAAUUUUUUCUUCUAAUUAAUUUAUUGUGAUCAAGGGUGAUAUUUUCGAUUCAGUUCGGUUUUUAUUUAAAAAAAAUAAUCAAAUUGAAAUUUUUAAAAAAAAUCAAAACCAGUUCAAACCGACCAGUUUCAUUCAGUUCGAUUUUGUUUUUUAUGACAAAAAUCGGUUUGACUCGGUUUUUUCAAUUUGUCUCAGUUUUUUUCUGGUUUGGGUUCAGUUCGGUUCAUUUUUUUUUUGUUUCAGGCUUAUAAAACCGAAACCGAACCAAAUUGGUCAGUUUUUUCAAAAUUUUAAUCGGUUUAAUCAGUUUUUUUUCACGGUUUAGUUUUUUUUUUCAAGUUUUCUUGGUUUAAUCAGUUUUUUGAUUUUUUUCUCACCCCUAAAUGUGAUUACUUAUUUAACUACAUGUUGCUUUGAUGUUUGGAAUCCUUAUUUUCUACAUAACUUUUUCACUCUAAGUUUCUUACAAUUUAAUAAUUUUGUAUACCUUAUCAAGUGUGAUUGUCAUUACAGUUUCGGCAUUAAUUUUCAUUAAUUAAUCUUUUAAGAAUUAUUGCAUUAAAUCAUGGCCUAUUAAUUAACGAAUUAUUACACAUUUGUUCUUUUUUCAAUGAUAAAACAAUAUAUCCGAUCAAUUUUUUUUUCUUUUUAAUUUUUUGCACGUGAAAUAACCUUCCAAUCAUCCUCGCCAUUAAAUCCUUAAUUUAUUAAAUUCAAAUCUUCAAUUUGUCCAGUUUAUGUUAUUCAAUUCUGGUCUUAGGCUUCUUCUGGUAAUUGUCACCUUUCGUAUUCAAUGCAUUCUCACGUGCACUCAUGUUCUUUCUAGCAUCGCUCUUGAGACCACCUCCAGUCUUCGACUUGGGAUCUGCUAGUUGUGACUUCCUACGUUGUCAUUAUCCAAGGUAAUAACACAGACAGUCCAAAUUUUUUUGUUUUUUUUUUUAUUUUUUUAAAUUAUUUUAAUAUACUAAUAAGUAAAUCUUCGUAGGUAAAGUGCCGGACUGAGAGUCUAUUUAUGACUGAAUUUUUCAUCGGCUAUGUCAGCUCGAACUGCAGAUAGCAUUCGCUUUUGGUCUAACAGCAGCAUAUUAGCAAUUGUGUGAUUUCAGGCAGUCAUUUCUUGUAGGUUUUGGCUUUUGGAUGGAUGACUUUAGCAUCGACUCCAUGGAUCACUGAUCGAGAGUUUGAUUUUGGUGAAGUCUUUGAAUGAUCUCAUCGAAGACCGGGAGAAUCCAACAGAGUGACGGACCUUGCUUUUUCUUUUUUUUAAUGUAAUUCUCAAUUACUAUUAAAAAAAAAAAUACCAAACACGCUAGGAAAAAAAAUCUCUUCCCUUGUCUCGUAUCUAUCUAUUCAAACCUUGUUCUCCAUCCACAGCAACCCACCAUGCUUACAAAUAAUUUGUGCUUCACCUGGACUACAUGUACUACUGUCUUGCUUUCUUCCUCUCCAGCUUUCUUCUAUUCAAACCUGUAUUCCAACGUACCCUCAACUUACCACCAAGUCCUUUCGGUUUUCCGAUCAUAUAUAGGCCAUCUCCACCUUGUCUCGAAGCCACCAAUGCAUAAAGUGCUAGCAAUUCUUUCAAAUAAAUGCGGUCCAAUUUUUACUCUGAAAUUAGGCAGCAGGAACAUUGUUGCUGUUUGUUCUUUAUCAGCUGCUGAAGAAUGUUUCAUCAAGAAUGAUAUAGUUUUUGCCAACAGGCCUCAGAGCAUAUUUGUCCAUUACUGGAGCUACAGCUACGCUGCCUUUUUAUUUGCUCCGUAUGGCCAUCUCUGGCGGACCCUGAGGCGUUUCUCGGUCACUGAACUGUUUUCUCGAAGCUGCCUCGAUCGGUCUACUGCCAUUACCGAAGAAGUCCGCACCCUUCUCCGCCUGAUUCUGUCCAAAGUCUCUGAUGAUGGAGCCAAGAAGGUAGAGAUCCAAAUGAACUCGGAUUUCUGUUUAUAAUACCUUUCUGAAAAACUUUUAUAUUCUGAAAUUAAAACUCUAUGAAACAAAACCUGUCACAAUAAGCAAAUUCUGAAACAUAAAAUGCAGAAAUUAUUAUCUUUUAAUAAUUAAUUCACAAAGUUUCUUAGGCAUACCAAACUCAUAAAAAUAACUUUCAAUAAGCUCAUAUAAGCUCAAAAUACAUUAAAAAGCAUAUUAUAAAAAGAAUAAAAACAUAUAUAUAUUUUGCACUUAUCAUCUAAAUAAAGAAUUUUUCAUAUUCCCCGGACACUUUAUUUGACAGGAGUAGAUACGGUAGAUUUCACCACAGAAUGGGCAAUGACAUUUCUGCUGAACCAUCCAGAGAGACUAGAGAGGGUGAGAGCAGAGAUUGACAUGGAAGUCGGGCACGAGCGCUUGGUACAAGAGUCUGAUCUUCCCAAGCUAAGAUAUGUCCGUUGUGUCGUUAAUGAGACCCGUCGUUUGUAUCCUCCAGCCCCGCUUUUUCUGCCUCACGCGCCAUCUGAAGACUGCGUCAUAGGUGGAUA
This 5574-nucleotide long non-coding RNA is filed under the name Populus tremula. Its description in RNAcentral is "long non-coding RNA (PTRE_LNC001416)". The record is from RNAcentral. Lineage: Eukaryota; Viridiplantae; Streptophyta; Magnoliopsida; Malpighiales; Salicaceae.